RNAcentral lists this ribosomal RNA (253 nucleotides) under uncultured bacterium. RNAcentral describes it as "partial 16S ribosomal RNA". It matches the Rfam family "Bacterial small subunit ribosomal RNA", at positions 524 to 776 of the family's 1533-position model. The record is from RNAcentral.
UACGUAGGGGGCAAGCGUUGUCCGGAUUUAUUGGGCGUAAAGAGCGUGUAGGCGGCCAUUCAGGUCAGCUGUGAAAACUCGAGGCUCAACCUCGAGACGUCGGUUGAAACCGUUUGGCUAGAGUCCGGAAGAGGAGAGUGGAAUUCCCGGUGUAGCGGUGAAAUGCGCAGAUAUCGGGAAGAACACCCGUGGCGAAGGCGGCUCUCUGGGCAUGUCCUGACGCUGAGGAGCGAAAGUGUGGGGAGCGAACAGG